This 119-nucleotide ribosomal RNA is filed under the name Aotus nancymaae (Ma's night monkey). The record is from RNAcentral. Lineage: Eukaryota; Metazoa; Chordata; Mammalia; Primates; Aotidae.
GUCUACAGCCAUACCACCCUGAACGCGCCUGACCGCAUCUGAUCUCAGAAGCUAAGCAGGGUCGGGCCUGGUUAGUACUUGGAUGGGAGACCGCCUAGGAAUACUGGGUGCUGUAGGCU